GGCUGGUCCAAGUGCUGUAGUGUGUACAACUAAUUGAUCACAACCAGUCCAGAUUCCUUUGUUCCUUGUCCACUCCCACAGUUAAACUUGACCAGUCUUAA
This 101-nucleotide Y RNA is filed under the name Microcebus murinus (gray mouse lemur). Its description in RNAcentral is "Y RNA (ENSMICG00000045350.1)". It matches the Rfam family "Y RNA". Rfam says of the family: Y RNAs are components of the Ro ribonucleoprotein particle (Ro RNP), in association with Ro60 and La proteins. The Y RNAs and Ro60 and La proteins are well conserved, but the function of the Ro RNP is not known. The record is from Rfam by way of RNAcentral. Lineage: Eukaryota; Metazoa; Chordata; Mammalia; Primates; Cheirogaleidae.